GUGACGUGUUUGCUCGCUUUAGUCAUUCUGUUGGUUGUGUUACACUAUCAGGAGAGCAGCAGGAGUGUCCAUAAGGUACACGUGGUGAGCAUGGACAACUCUGACCCCUUGGUCUACCGGAAAGAGUCAUGCAUCUGCUGCAUAUUUUGUUCCUGUAUGAUCAACACACAACAAGCACGGCUCUACAACCUAUUAAAGGGAUACAGACAGAACAGAUGAAAAAUGCAAAUGAAGCUAUUGCGACCAAUAGACGAGAAGUGGUUUCAUUACCGACCAAUAGACAAACGUGAUGUCAUCAUAAGGCUCCACCUCUCUUUGUUUGUCAGCUGUGCUAUGAGAAUUCAGCCAUCAAAGUACAGACAUGGGAAAUGUCUAAUUGGUAGCAAGGAGCACCACCACAAUUGUUCAAGUGACAAUCUAAAUUGUAGUUGAUUACAUCAUCAAUACCCAAACCUACAGAUACAAAUAGACAUUGCAAUGUCCAUCCCUAUCAUUAGGUCGACAACCUUCCACUGAAGUGUGACAAAGCUUGAAGAAAAAGGAUGUGGCACCCAAACUGGCACCCUAAUGUACUGCAGCCAUGCAUCAACGCACGGGCACCCCAGCAGCAGCUUUGCCAUUUGCACAACCCUAUUCAGCACCAGCACCAGUAGCAAUGGCACUUGCACAACAUUCCUCAGCAACAGCAACAGCAACAGCAACAUCAGCAACACUACUUGUACUCCCCCCCCCCCCCAACAUCACCUUUCCUACUUCCAACAGCAGCACCAGCAGAAACUCUAUGAGCAGUAGCAGCAGCAGUACUGGCAGCCCUAACAACAUAACCCCCAACAACAGCACAGACAAAGGAACUGCACCAGCCCAUGCACCAGGACCAGCACGAGCACUUCAACAACAACAACAGCCUGCAAGCAGCAGCACCACCAUACACCCACAGCAACACAAGCAAUAACAUGAGACGAGUAACGAGAACAACAAUGUCGCGGUGGAGAACGAGAUGUGGCUGCAAAGUAAGAGAAUAUAGAAGAAUGAUACAUGUGACGUGGUGUGUGUGUGUGUGUGUGUGUGUGUGUGUGUGUGUGUGUGUGUGUGUGUGUGUGUGUUUGUGUGUGUGUGUGUGUGUGUGCUGUAGCUCAAUUGGUUAGAGUGCAUUUGGAGAGUGGAAACAUCCAGGUUGCAAGUUCAAGUCAGUGAUGGCGAGCUAUUGCAUAAUUUCCUUAAGCAGAAACUUACAACUCAAAAGUAUAAAUGAGUACCUGGUCUUUGACUUGGGUGGACAUGACCGCUGGCAUGGCAGUAACAUCAUGCAGCAGAUGGAAACAUGUGGGCCUUGGUGUCCAGUCCCAGACCUGUGCCAUAGUCAAUGCCGCUGGAUGACUCCGGCCAAGCUCCAGAUGGAUUGUAGCGCUGGCCCUUAUACCUUGACAUAGCGCAUGGAGGCUCUGUCUCUAGAGGCAGGGGAGCUAACUCCGUAACUGACCCUAUAGUCGACGUCGAACAACGUGGAGGGCUUAACGUUUGUCCAUUGUGUGUGUGUGUGUGUGUGUGUGUGUGUGUGUGUGUGUGUGUGUGUGUGUGUGUGUGUGUGUGUCCAAGGUUGAAUGUGGACCACAUAGAACUCCAGGUCCAGCCGAACCGAUUGGACCAAUCGGAUGUGGCGAAAGUCGUGGAGAUUGUAGUGAAUGUGGAGCACAGGGAGAUGAGACAGCGGGAGUGUCAGGACAAACUGGAGCAGAAGGAGUUGCAAGACUCGAGGGCCCAUAAGGUAACUUACACGUGGUGAGCAUGGACAACUCAGACCCCUUGGUGUACCAGAAGGAGUCAUGCAUCUGCUGCAUAUUUUGUUCCUGUAUGAUCAACACUCAACAAGCAAGGCCCUGCAACCUAUUAAAGGGAUACAGACAGAACAGAUGAAAAAGCUAACUUGGUGAAUAUGUGCACAUGAAAAUGGUGUCUGGGUAUGCCAGGCCUGUGUGUGUUCUCGAGUUUGUGUUGCAGUCGGCUUGUGAUAGUAGUGCAAAUACUGAUUAGAUAGAUUAGAGUAUAACAAUUAUUGCUGUACUUGUAUUGUGAUAUAUACCAAUGACUGACAAGGAUGUAAUGCAGUAAGCAUGAGACUAUA
Molecule: long non-coding RNA, 2122 nt
Organism: Corticium candelabrum
Lineage: Eukaryota; Metazoa; Porifera; Homoscleromorpha; Homosclerophorida; Plakinidae
Exons: 3
Source: RefSeq, a predicted model, not a curated record